This 488-nucleotide ribosomal RNA is filed under the name uncultured bacterium. RNAcentral's name for it is "bacterial SSU rRNA". It matches the Rfam family "Bacterial small subunit ribosomal RNA", at positions 30 to 507 of the family's 1533-position model. The record is from RNAcentral.
AUUGAACGCUGGCGGCAUGCCUAACACAUGCAAGUCGAACGGUAACGCAAGAAGCUUGCUUCUUGGCGACGAGUGGCGGACGGGUGAGUAAUGCUUAGGAAUCUGCCCAGUAGUGGGGGACAACUCGGGGAAACUCGAGCUAAUACCGCAUACGCCCUACGGGGAAAGCGGGGGAGUCUUCGGACCUCGCGCUAUUGGAUGAGCCUAAGUCGGAUUAGCUUGUUGGUGAGGUAAAAGCUCACCAAGGCGACGAUCCGUAGCUGGUCUGAGAGGACGAUCAGCCACACUGGGACUGAGACACGGCCCAGACUCCUACGGGAGGCAGCAGUGGGGAAUAUUGGACAAUGGGGGCAACCCUGAUCCAGCAAUGCCGCGUGUGUGAAGAAGGCCUGCGGGUUGUAAAGCACUUUCAGUAGAGAAGAAAAGCUUACGGUUAAUAACCGUGAGUCUUGACGUAACCUACAGAAGAAGCACCGGCUAACUCCGUG